This 294-nucleotide unclassified non-coding RNA is filed under the name plant metagenome. RNAcentral's name for it is "partial contains small subunit ribosomal RNA, internal transcribed spacer 1, and 5.8S ribosomal RNA". The stretch from base 1 to 54 matches the Rfam family "Eukaryotic small subunit ribosomal RNA", at positions 1778 to 1831 of the family's 1831-position model. The record is from RNAcentral.
GGAAGUAAAAGUCAUAACAAGGUUUCCGUAGGUGUACCUGCGGAAGGAUCAUUAAUGAGUUGUCAUGGGGUUCGAUGCUGGCAGCCAGUUUUUGGAUGCAUGUGCUUGCCCUAACAAUCAUCUUCUUCCAAACACCUGUGCACAUUUUUGAGGGAGUCUUGAGUUGGUUGCCGCUCUUGGGUGAUUUUCUCACAUUCCCUUAAAUCAUUAUACGCUAUUAACAAUGUUGAACGUGCUCUGUGCCGCAAGGCCAUUAAUAUAAUACAACUUUUAACAACGGAUCUCUUGGCUCUC